AAAUCCCCAAUAAUUUUGAAUUCCUAGAUUAAUUGGAAAGUGUGUUGGUUUAUGUUUUUAAGUGUUUUGGUACAAGUUAAAACCCAAAUUCGUCCAAUUUGAUGCUUUGUGUUCAAAACUGCCCAAAAAGUGGUUUUUAGGCAGUUUUGAGUGUUUGGUUGCUGUUUUGAUUCUUUUGGUUUGGUUUAGUGUUUUAGAGUUUAGUUUUGCAUUCUUUGAGUCUAGUUUCGUAUUUUUAAACUUUGUUUCACAGAUUUGAGUCAGUUUAGAGUGUUUUAGUAAUCCCUCCUAAUCCCCGGUUUAAGAACGAUCCCUACUUAUCCAUACUACAAUUGUCAACAAGAUGGUUAAUUUGUGUGUUAACUUAUUUUUUACAUCAGCUAGUUAGAGGGUUUCUGAGUUAUAUGGGGGGUGGUGCGGAUGAGUGAUGAUAUCUGGUCCCCCAAUGGCUGUUACACACACUUAAAUAGCAAAAUAUGUCAAAACACUAGGGAAAUAUAGCUAGGUGCGGUAGAAAAGCCAAGGGAAAGAAAGUAAUGUUUGUAGAAGGAUUUUUAACUCUAAAUCAAAUCAGAAUCCAAGGAAAAGGUUAAAGGGACAAGGAAUGGGACACAAGGUAAGGGAAAGGGAAAGGUUAUGACACAAUAGUGAAAGUGAAAGUGAAAGUUAUGGCAGAAAUCUAGAAGAAAGGGAAAUGAAUGCACAGCUAGGGAAAGUAAAGGGAGUGGUGUGACAAGGAAAAGGGAAGGAAAGGCAAAAUGUUAAGGCUGUAAGGAGGGAGACAUGGAUGUGUGCACGGUAACGAAGGUGAAAGGUGGUGGAAUGGUUCAGCAAGGGGACAAUGAAGGGGACAAUGAAGGGGACAAGGGUGGUGUGUAAGGCAAGGAAGGGGAAAGUGAUAAAAUGGUGCAGCAAUGAGACAAUGGAGGGGACAAGAAUGGUGUGCACGACAAGGAAGGUGAAAAGUGGUGUGACACCCCUUUGUGGCUGAGAUUAAGGCUUCUAGAAUCCUUUAUUUAGUGUCCUAAUAUCUUUGGGAACCCUCCUUGUGGCUGGAACUUAGUUGGAUUAGGAUUAAGAAAGGUUAAAUCAAAAUAAGGUAACUUAACUCAUGUGUCUUCUUUUCUUGCUGAGCUCUUUAUCUUCUUUAAAUUAAUUCUUCUUUCUCUUUAACACAUUCCUAGCCUCUUUAGUCUUCAAUUUCGUCCAUCCACCUUGCUCCAUGCAUGUGCUAUCCAUUCCAAGCCCAAAAUUGCUCCAAAAUGCACCUUAUUGCUUCAUGAUCGGAUCAUAUUUAUAUAUAUUUUUACUUCAAAUUCACUCGUCUUUUCUUAGUUAGUUCCUUAUAUUUUUGAGCUAUUUACGUUAUUUUUGUGUUUCUAGGAUUUGUUAUGCAAAGAAAAUAAAAAUAGCACAAAAGAAUCUUGCUGCCAAAAAUACUUUCCAGCUUAUACCUUGAAAAGAAGGCACAUGGACUGACAGACGGAAAGAAGAAAAAUAUAAGGGGAGACCGACAGAAACAAGAAGGCAGAACAGGGACUCGUUGGCAGAUGCUUUAGCAAUUGCUCAACAUCAUGAUGCAGUCAGUGGUACAAAGAGGCAUGGCAGAUAAUAAAAAGCAAAGAAAAAAAAAUAAGGUUGGCGUGAUUGGUGGGGGGCAGCCCUGCUGCCAGAAGCAGAAAAGGAUAUAAAAAAUAAAGAAAAAGAAGAAACGAGGAAGGUUGCUUUGGCAGCUGGAGGGCAGUACGUGAGUGGACAGAGGAAAGGAAUAAGGGAAUAAAAGCAGAAUAAGAAAUAAAAUAGAGGGGAGGAGGUGAUUUUGGGGGGGGGGGUCUUGGAGCGGGGUGGACAGAGGGGCUGCCCUUUGGGCAGCUCACAGAACACGGGAAGAGACUGGGGGGGGCUGCUUUGGCAGCAGUGCGCAGGAGGCGCAAGAAAGGAGAAGACGCGGGAAGCGCGAGGAAGGAGGAGAGGGGAAUAGGCGAGAGGGGAGGGCUGCCCUUUGGGCAGCGUGAAGCUGCGAGAAGGAAAGCAGUCAGCGUGGAAGGCUGACGGGGCAAGUGAGGCGCGGGAGGUCAGGAAGAAGGAGAGGACGUGCAGGAGAGAGGAGUGACUGACAGAGCACGUACUGACGACGCAGUGAAGCUGCACAGCAACAGAUCACCUUCUUUCGGUUUAAUCUUUCCAAACUCCUAUUUUAUUUUUGUUUUAAUAAUGUGUAAUUAAUUUUAUUUUGGCUAG
RNAcentral lists this long non-coding RNA (2241 nucleotides) under Malus domestica (apple). RNAcentral's name for it is "long non-coding RNA (MDOM_LNC020802)". Lineage: Eukaryota; Viridiplantae; Streptophyta; Magnoliopsida; Rosales; Rosaceae. The record is from RNAcentral.